UUCCAGACUCCUACGGGAGGCAGCAGUGGGGAAUAUUGCACAAUGGGGGAAACCCUGAUGCAGCGACGCCGCGUGAGUGAAGAAGUAUUUCGGUAUGUAAAGCUCUAUCAGCAGGGAAGAUAAUGACGGUACCUGACUAAGAAGCCCCGGCUAACUACGUGCCAGCAGCCGCGGUAAUACGUAGGGGGCAAGCGUUAUCCGGAUUUACUGGGUGUAAAGGGUGCGUAGGUGGCAUGGCAAGUCAGAAGUGAAAGCCCGGGGCUCAACCCCGCGGACUGCUUUUGAAACUGUCAGGCUGGAGUACAGGAGAGGUAAGCGGAAUUCCUAGUGUAGCGGUGAAAUGCGUAGAUAUUAGGAGGAACACCAGUGGCGAAGGCGGCUUACUGGACUGUAACUGACACUGAGGCACGAAAGCGUGGGGAGCAAACAGGAUUAGAUACCCGCGUAAC
Molecule: ribosomal RNA, 449 nt
Filed under: uncultured bacterium
Lineage: Bacteria
Description: bacterial SSU rRNA
Rfam family: Bacterial small subunit ribosomal RNA
Source: RNAcentral